This 341-nucleotide long non-coding RNA is filed under the name Eucalyptus grandis. RNAcentral describes it as "long non-coding RNA (EGRA_LNC004851)". The record is from RNAcentral. Lineage: Eukaryota; Viridiplantae; Streptophyta; Magnoliopsida; Myrtales; Myrtaceae.
CGCGACCAGCUCCGGCUGGUUGAGCUCCGCCGGCUGGGCUUUGGUCUUGAAGAAACGAGGGAGACAAGGAAGACGAUGAACAGUAGAUUUUGAGGGUAAAACAAGAAAACUCAAUUAUCAGUGAGGGCAAUAUUGGAAGAAAAAAAAUUCAUUAAACCCUCCUUCAACAUUCCGAAAAUGCUGAAUGCCCAAAGCAGGUCCCCACCGGCUUUGGGCUUUCAGCAUUUCAGAGCAUUCCAAAUGCUAGCAUUCCCCCAAGUAUACCUCAAAAUGCUGAACCAAACGGCUGAAAUUUUUCCCAAGGGGCUUUCGAGGCUGAAAGCCCCUUGGGAAUGCUGAAC